UGAGAAACCUGUCCCGAUCUCUGGAAUAACAGUCGGAAACGACUGCUAAUACCGGAUGCCGUCGGAGCGUCGCAUGGCGCGCUGACGAAAGGACUACCGGAUCGGGAGGGUCUCGCGGCCUAUCAGCUUGUUGGUGAGGUAACGGCUCACCAAGGCAUCGACGGGUAGCUGGUCUGAGAGGAUGAUCAGCCACACUGGAACUGAGACACGGCACGA
Molecule: ribosomal RNA, 216 nt
Filed under: uncultured bacterium
Lineage: Bacteria
Description: partial 16S ribosomal RNA
Rfam family: Bacterial small subunit ribosomal RNA
Source: RNAcentral